GACGAACGCUGGCGGCGUGCCUAAUACAUGCAAGUAGAACGCUGAAGGAGGAGCUUGCUUCUCUGGAUGAGUUGCGAACGGGUGAGUAACGCGUAGGUAACCUGCCUGGUAGCGGGGGAUAACUAUUGGAAACGAUAGCUAAUACCGCAUAAGAGUAGAUGUUGCAUGACAUUUGCUUAAAAGGUGCAAUUGCAUCACUACCAGAUGGACCUGCGUUGUAUUAGCUAGUUGGUGGGGUAACGGCUUACCAAGGCGACGAUACAUAGCCGACCUGAGAGGGUGAUCGGCCACCCUGGGACUGAGACACGGCCCAGACUCCUACGGGAGGCAGCAGUAGGGAAUCUUCGGCAAUGGACGGAAGUCUGACCGAGCAACGCCGCGUGAGUGAAGAAGGUUUUCGGAUCGUAAAGCUCUGUUGUAAGAGAAGAACGAGUGUGAGAGUGGAAAGUUCACACUGUGACGGUAUCUUACCAGAAAGGGACGGCUAACUACGUG
RNAcentral lists this ribosomal RNA (495 nucleotides) under uncultured bacterium. Its description in RNAcentral is "partial 16S ribosomal RNA". It matches the Rfam family "Bacterial small subunit ribosomal RNA", at positions 28 to 507 of the family's 1533-position model. The record is from RNAcentral.